Molecule: ribosomal RNA, 738 nt
Filed under: Escherichia coli
Lineage: Bacteria; Pseudomonadati; Pseudomonadota; Gammaproteobacteria; Enterobacterales; Enterobacteriaceae
Description: bacterial LSU rRNA
Rfam family: Bacterial large subunit ribosomal RNA
Source: RNAcentral
GGGUUGUGAGGUUAAGCGACUAAGCGUACACGGUGGAUGCCCUGGCAGUCAGAGGCGAUGAAGGACGUGCUAAUCUGCGAUAAGCGUCGGUAAGGUGAUAUGAACCGUUAUAACCGGCGAUUUCCGAAUGGGGAAACCCAGUGUGAUUUGUCACACUAUCAUUAACUGAAUCCAUAGGUUAAUGAGGCGAACCGGGGGAACUGAAACAUCUAAGUACCCCGAGGAAAAGAAAUCAACCGAGAUUCCCCCAGUAGCGGCGAGCGAACGGGNAGGAGCCNAGAGCCUGAAUCAGUGUGUGUGUUAGUGGAAGCGUCUGGAAAGGCGCGCGAUACAGGGUGACAGCCCCGUACACAAAAAUGCACAUGCUGUGAGCUCGAUGAGUAGGGCGGGACACGUGGUAUCCUGUCUGAAUAUGGGGGGACCAUCCUCCAAGGCUAAAUACUCCUGACUGACCGAUAGUGAACCAGUACCGUGAGGGAAAGGCGAAAAGAACCCCGGCGAGGGGAGUGAAAAAGAACCUGAAACCGUGUACGUACAAGCAGUGGGAGCCUCUUUAUGGGGUGACUGCGUACCUUUUGUAUAAUGGGUCAGCGACUUAUAUUCUGUAGCAAGGUUAACCGAAUAGGGGAGCCGAAGGGAAACCGAGUCUUAACUGGGCGUUAAGUUGCAGGGUAUAGACCCGAAACCCGGUGAUCUAGCCAUGGGCAGGUUGAAGGUUGGGUAACACUAAGCUGGAGG